Molecule: ribosomal RNA, 390 nt
Filed under: uncultured bacterium
Lineage: Bacteria
Description: bacterial SSU rRNA
Rfam family: Bacterial small subunit ribosomal RNA
Source: RNAcentral
GACGAACGCUGGCGGCGUGCUUAACACAUGCAAGUCGAGCGGUAAGGCCCUUUCGGGGGUACACGAGCGGCGAACGGGUGAGUAACACGUGGGUGACCUGCCCUCAGCUCUGGGAUAAGCCUGGGAAACUGGGUCUAAUACUGGAUAUGACUCCACGGUGCAUGUCGUGGGGUGGAAAGCCUUGUGCGGCUGAGGAUGGGCCCGCGGCCUAUCAGCUUGUUGGUGGGGUGAUGGCCUACCAAGGCGACGAUGGGUAGCCGGCCUGAGAGGGCGACCGGCCACACUGGGACUGAGACACGGCCCAGACUCCUACGGGAGGCAGCAGUGGGGAAUCUUGCGCAAUGGGCGAAAGCCUGACGCAGCGACGCCGCGUGAGGGAUGACGGCCUGG